Penaeus vannamei (Pacific white shrimp) is the source of this 147-nucleotide non-coding RNA. The record is from RefSeq and is a predicted model, not a curated record. NCBI's taxonomy places the organism in Eukaryota, Metazoa, Arthropoda, Malacostraca, Decapoda, Penaeidae.
UCAUUGUAUUUGAGUCCUUCCUGGCUGGAUUGUCAAAAGAGAAUGCUUCCCGAAGACAGGAAAGCAGUGAUAUGAAGAAAGAUUUUUAAUGUGCAAUGUUUUUUAGAAGAUCUAUAAGAAGGAUGCGAUAUAAAUUACAAUAAGAAG